GCGGAAUUUAACAGUAUGUGGCCUUCCUCCAGGGACACUCAACUGAACCCUUAACCAACAUUAAGAAGUCUAGCUACACUCCUGGAGUCCAGCUAACAUGGAGAAACCAUACAGGGAGGCCACAUGGAGCGGUGGGGACAUGAGAAUGUGCAGGGAGGGAGAGGAGUCCAGCUGCCUUAUAAUCCUACCGGAGCCCAGGCAUCAGCCAUCUCUGCCAACCUGCAGCACGAGUGAGGACGCGAGUGUGCCACCUGGCAAGUGGAUCCUCUGGCCCCAGUCAAGGAGCUGCAGCUGAUGGUGCAUGGAGCAGAGAGAAACUGCCCUGCUGAGCCCUGCCAAAAUCAUAAAAUUGUGAGCAAUGAAACAAAGUGGCUGUUAUUUUAAUCCACUAAGAUUUGGGAUAGUGUGUUACAUCGCAAUAGAUAAC
RNAcentral lists this long non-coding RNA (427 nucleotides) under Pan troglodytes (chimpanzee). Its description in RNAcentral is "long non-coding RNA NONPTRT014465". The record is from RNAcentral. Lineage: Eukaryota; Metazoa; Chordata; Mammalia; Primates; Hominidae.